This 86-nucleotide transfer RNA is filed under the name Nitzschia sp. (in: diatoms). RNAcentral's name for it is "Nitzschia sp. (in: Bacillariophyta) tRNA-Ser". It matches the Rfam family "tRNA". From Rfam's summary of the family: Transfer RNA (tRNA) molecules are approximately 80 nucleotides in length. Their secondary structure includes four short double-helical elements and three loops (D, anti-codon, and T loops). Further hydrogen bonds mediate the characteristic L-shaped molecular structure. tRNAs have two regions of fundamental functional importance: the anti-codon, which is responsible for specific mRNA codon recognition, and the 3' end, to which the tRNAs corresponding amino acid is attached (by aminoacyl-tRNA synthetases). tRNAs cope with the degeneracy of the genetic code in two manners: having more than one tRNA (with a specific anti-codon) for a particular amino acid; and 'wobble' base-pairing, i.e. permitting non-standard base-pairing at the 3rd anti-codon position. The record is from RNAcentral. Lineage: Eukaryota; Bacillariophyta; Bacillariophyceae; Bacillariales; Bacillariaceae. RNAcentral also lists the same sequence under 2 other names.
GGAUAGAUGGCCGAGUGGUCUAAGGCGAUAGUUUUGAAAACUGUUGUAAUUAAUAGUUACCGUGGGUUCGAAUCCCACUCUGUCCU